This 490-nucleotide ribosomal RNA is filed under the name uncultured bacterium. Its description in RNAcentral is "partial 16S ribosomal RNA". It matches the Rfam family "Bacterial small subunit ribosomal RNA", at positions 29 to 507 of the family's 1533-position model. The record is from RNAcentral.
AUUGAACGCUGGCGGCAGGCUUAACACAUGCAAGUCGAGCGGUAGCACAGGGGAUCUUGCUCCCUGUGUGACGAGCGGCGGACGGGUGAGUAAUGUCUGGGAAACUGCCUGCUGGAGGGGGAUAACUACUGGAAACGGUAGCUACUACCGCAUAACGUCGCAAGACCAAAGAGGGGGACCGUCGGGCCUCUUGCCAUCAGCUGUGCCCAGAUGGGAUUAGCUAGUAGGUGGGGUCAUGGCUCACCUAGGCGACGAGCCCUAGCUGGUCGGAGAGGAUGACCAGCCACGCGGGAACUGAGACACGGUCCAGAACCCUGAGGGAGGCAGCAGUGGGGAAUGAGGCACAAGGGGCGCAAGCCUGAUGAAGCGAGGCCGCGUGUUGGAGGAAGGCCGUGGGGGUGUAAAGCACCUUCAGGGAGGAGGAAGGUGGUGAUCGUAAUAAGGUCAUCAAUUGACGUUACUCGCAGAAGAAGCACCGGCUAACUACGUG